UCCUACCCUCUCUUGGGCUGACCUUUAUUUAUCAACAGACUCGAUGUCACUUUGUUUAAAAUCAAAUGCUUCAGCAGAAGUCAAUCUCUCUCCAACCGUAUAAUGAAUAGUUUCUCUUCACCAUUGAUGGCAAGUCAAAAACCAAUGGGGGCACGAACGCGUGUGUGCUUUCUUGUCAUGAGUUAGAAAAACUAGUCUUGUUAAUAAUGUUACCAUAUUUACCCUUAUAUAGUGAAAUUGUACAGAUCCAUUUCAUUUUAAUCAAUUACAGGAAAGAAGAAAAGACAACACCCGUUUUCCAACCAUCCCAUCUCCAUAUCAAUUGUCAAAGAAGUAAAAGCAAUCGGAUUUCCAGUGCAGUAUUGCCCACUCCAUUUGCAUGGCUUGUCUUAUUUUUCUAGACAGACGCUUGUUCUGUGUGUUGAGUCAUCCAAUGAUUCGAACAGUUUCAAUCCAAUAAGAACGGGAAUGCUCUCUGCAGAGGUGGAAGAUUGUAGCAGCUCCACAAAACCGCCUGAAAGCCGACAUUCAGUUACUUGGCGGGAAUACAGCUCCACACAGCUGGCCUGGCUCCUCGCCUCCUAACAUCUGAAGUCUGUCUUUAGAGUGUGUUUCUCAGCGAGAGGGGCUUCUCUUUUCGAAUACAAAUAGCCCUGAGAGGCUAUCCAUCAUGCACAUCUUGCUUUGAAUUCCUUCAUUCACGUGCUUUCCUCCUUGCCCCAGCUGAG
Molecule: long non-coding RNA, 728 nt
Filed under: Equus asinus (donkey)
Lineage: Eukaryota; Metazoa; Chordata; Mammalia; Perissodactyla; Equidae
Description: lncRNA (ENSEASG00005032116.1)
Source: RNAcentral